Molecule: non-coding RNA, 12127 nt
Organism: Rattus norvegicus (Norway rat)
Lineage: Eukaryota; Metazoa; Chordata; Mammalia; Rodentia; Muridae
Source: RefSeq, a predicted model, not a curated record
AUAAUGCCUGCCUCGGCGCCGCGUGUUGCAGUGACGUAUGCGCUGUCUGCGCGUUCCAGAAUUCUCAAACAUCUCAGGAAUGUUGGUUGGCGCGGGCUGCUGCCAAGCACCUCCCCUGGCUCCGUUGCACCUUUCCCCCCCUCCCCUUCUUAGAUUCAUCAGAGAAAAAAAAAGUUAUUUUUUUUCCACUUUAAAUAACAACUUCCUUUGGGAAGGGCGGGAUGCUUGGGGCGCAAGGGUUCUGAUUUUGAUUGAAGAGGGUAUCUCGUGAGUGUGUUGGGGGGCGUGGUGUAUGUGUUGGUGGGAGCAUUUCAGAUCUGUGCCUAGACAUGGGAGGGCGGGAAGACCUGAGACGGCGGAAGAAAAGUGGUUUUGUUUGAUGCUGCCUACCCGGGAAAGCAGCGAGCUGCUUGCUUGUUUACAACCAAGGUUCCCAGUUUUAGUUCCAGCCCACUGCCUGCGUUGGAAAUCCAAGAGGAAACGAGUGCAGAGUUCUCCCGGAGCCUGACGUCCACUUCCUCACCGAUGCAGGAGGCCGGGUCAACCCUCCUGGCCUCUCUCCCCGGACUGGCGGGGCGGUGGAAACUAAGCAGCCAAACCAGAAACGGAGGAGACCACCGUGGAGUGAUUUGUCCUGAAAUCAUCAGGUGCAAAAGCUGCCGGGACAAAACAGAACCCAACAGCUUUGGCUAGAUGGAAAAAAAGACUUGGUGUGUUUGCAGACACCGUCCCACCAACCCUCCCGCCCUUGUAUGUGUCUCUCUGUAUGUAUAUGUAUGUAUGCCUCCCUGUCUGUGUGUCUGUGCUUGUGUGUCGCUUGUGUGUCUCUGUGUCUCUGUCUGUCUCUGUCUCUCUGUCUCUCUGUCUCUCUGUCUCUCUGUCUCUCUCUCUCUCUCUCUCUCUCUCUCUCUCUCUCUCUCUCUCUCUCUCUGUGUGUGUGUGUGUGUGAACUUGUGUGUCUCGGUGUUUAAUUCCUUUGUUUUGGAUCACUUGGAAGCCUUCCAUUUCAAAGGAAGUGCAAUGGCUCUCUCCCCAAGUUCCGAGACAUGAGGGAUUUAGAGGGCAACAAUGUAAUAAAGGACGUUAGUUUUAAAGAUCUUAUUAGACACACAACUGAAGACACCCCCUAGACCCUCUUCAGUAUUACCCGUGCCAUUCAUAAAUUUCAGAAGCCUCGAAAUCUGUCUUCUGCAAUUUUAAAAGGAGAUGGGUACUAGAUUUCCCCAUCCCUUUAAUGGUCUGGGGUAGCUUUUUUUCAUUUUUAAUAUGUAGGGCCUCCCUGCCUUUGCCGCUUAGCGAUCUUGCUCAAGAGAGCCUUGUGCACUGACUGUUCUAAGAAUGACUCUGGUGAGAAGGAAGAGAAGCGCACUCGAAUGAAGACAGCUGUUACUGGAAAGAGUUAAGUUCAUUCAUUCAAAAGGGCCCUUUCGUAAGUCCUAGAGGAAUUUGCCAGAGGCGGUAGGAUCUUGAAGGCUUUCUGGGGGUGGGGACUUUUAAAGACAAUGGGUUGUCAAGUGUUAUGCAAAUAACGAAGGCCAAGCCGAGGCCUUGUCCCGCAGGCCAGCCAACUUAUUAGCUAGAGAACUGUUCCGCUGGCCUUACAGUUCAUUGUUUCCAUCUUUGGGAAGCGGCGGGAGGGUAGGGGGUGAGGGUGGAGAAGGCGCAGAACGGGGUAGAAGGAGGUGAUGGAGAAACAGAAUGGAGGGGAGGGCUCCUGGCUUCUGUUGUGGCGUCUUUUCUAUUUGACUUCAUGGUUGUAAGUAUUUCCAGAUGGUGAAUCAGACACCAGACGUAACAAUAUUUCCAUAUUUGGGUAUAGCAGUAGCCUGCGUUUUUAACAUUUUUCUGCCUCUGUUAUCCAACCACAAGGCAUUCUUGACAGCUUCAAAUGUUGUUAAAUAUAGACUUAACUUCUGUUCCCAGAGCAGGAAAUUCUUUGGAAUUCCUUGUUUUUCACGCAAUCUGUCCAUCAUGAUUUAAAAUAAAGUUACAGUGGAUGAUCCAACUGGCCUGGAUAUACUGUGUUCCUUUGCUGCGGGGGAUGGGGUGACAGUGGAGAGGUCCAGUAUUCUAUACAGCAUUCAGACACACCAUUCCGUAGAUGCCUUUAAAAAUCAGAUUAAAGUUUUCUAACGAGGAUGUGUGGGGUUUUGUUUCUGGACUCCAACUGGGCAAUCUCAGAAGAAGGGGAUUGUCCCAGAGGAGACAGAGGGAGAACAUUAGCAUCAGCUGUCCAUUUAAAGCAGCGGGUGUGUGGUGAGAAGAGGAGGGAGUUGGAGUCGGCAAGGCCGGGAGGUGCAGGAGGAGGAAAGGCUGCUGGAACCCAUGUGCACAGCCUUUGCAGACUGCGUGCACUGCCUAGCCCGCUGGUAACCAGGAGGAACAGCGGCUGCUUGAGUCCCUGCCUAGGAUGGUCCAGAAACUCCAGACGUCCUGUCGCCUUCUCACCUCCUCUGCUGAGAGCUACAGAUCCUUCGUUGACAGACAGGGAGGGAAAUGUGCAAAUGGUGUGGAUUUCAGCUUGAAGAGGAUGGCCUUGUUGGGCACCAAUGGAAGGAGAAGCCCUUGGUCCUGACAAGGCUGCUGUAGGAGUACAGACAGAUGUAGUCUGCCUCUGAAGCCACCCUAUAAAAAGUGAAGUCCUUGCUUGUGUGUAUAUCGUGAUAAAUGAGAAGAGUCUGCCAUUGCUCCUGCUGCCACACAUGUUCCAUUUGAAGCUGUUGACUGCAUGUGCAUUUUCAUGGGAGAUUAGCAGCCAUCUGGAGGAGAAAGUCCUGGCAGCAGGGUUGGGGCGUUCCUCACAGAAGGUGUGGAUUAUAGAGCCUAAUCUCCAGACUGCUGUUACUCUGGUCACUGUAGCCCCUUCUGAGGAGCAACGAAAAAUACUACUUGUUAUGUCAACCGCUAUCAAGGUCACCUCAUCAGAUAUGGAAGAAAUUCUUGAAGGUAGCAAGAUAACUCAGUGUAUGAAACUCCAUGUCCCAAAAGCCCGAGGACCUGAGUUUGAUCCCUGGAGGAACCCACAUGGAAGGAGGGAACUGACUCCUAAAGGUCUCCACAAAUCUCCACACACAGCACAGGGUGUGUCACAUACACUUCUGCAUUUACACAUACAUCUCACACAUCACACAUAUAGACAUAUAUGUGUACAUAUACACAUAUUUGUAUAUAAACACAUAUACUACAUAUGUACAUUAUAUCAUAAUACACAUAUGUACAUAUAUCACACAAGCAUCACACACACCUGACACAAACAUCCAUACAUCACACAAUCAUACACACACAUAUCACACACACAUGCAUACACUACUAAUAUAUUUUUAAAAUUUCAAAGCAUCCUCUGGGAUGAAUUUUUCUGACAUUUUUCUAAGCUUAAGAAGUGGAGUUUCCCCACACCUUUAAUCCAACAACCUGAGACGCAGAGGCAGGCAGAUCUCUGAGUUUAGGAGCAGCCUGGUCUACAGAGAGAGUUCUAGAACAGUCAGAGCUACACUGGAAAGCCAUCUCUUGAAAAACAAAAACCAAAACAAAACAAAAACAAAACCCAACCCCAUACAUGGCAAGAGGCCUAUGUUAUACAUGUAGGUUAAACAAACAUACACAUAGAAUAAAAAUAGAUAAAGUUUUAAAAAGAAAAAAUAAGAUGUAUUAAUCAGAUAAUUAGACUGUGACCCUCAGGGAUUCUAACUCAGGCUUGUGUGCUUUCUAUAACCUGUAACACCAUCCUGAUUCUCCGAGGGUUUCUUUUUUGCAAUUGUCUCGGUUUUUCAUUUUAAAUCUGUAUUUACUCAAUUUUUUUCCUGAGGCAGGGUCUCUUGUAGCCCAGACAGGCCUUGCCCUCACUGUGGAGCCAAGGCUGGCCUUGGCCUUGUCUCCUGCAACCACCUCCCAAAUGCUGGCAGGAUGAGCCUGUGCUAUCUCCUGGAUUUUAUGCACUGUCUGGGAAUGGAACCCAGGGCUUUGUGCACGGAAGGCAAACACUUUAGCAACUGAGCGACAGCCCCCAAUCCUCCUAUUUUAAGAAAUUGUUCCCCCACACUGUGUCUUUAUGGAGCCGACCCUUUAAGCUCUUCUUAGUACUUUAAGAUCCACAGUGGUAGUUACUGAGCCAGAGGUGACUCUUUAGUGUCUAAAGGGAGAUGCAAAAUAAAGUGAAUGGACCAUUAGUAUCAAGCCGAUGCUGUCAUUGUAAUCAGAGAACAGCAUGGUGACCCUAAGUCUGCCUGUCACCUGUUUCUUUGCUGGACACCGUGGAGGGUGGUUUGGAUGUGUGUGAGCUGUUUGCCAGGGACAAGUGACAAGCUUCAGAGGAUGUAGUCAUCAUUAGAAAUAAUGAAAGAAGCCCAGUUUGUGGGGUUUGUAGUUAAGAGAUAGAUGGCGGGUGUCAUGGCAACUCAAGGCUACUGGAGAGCACGGUGAUAUAAUCUAGAAGUUUCCUUCUGGACGGUGGCGAGCUGGUUAUGUUGAAGCGUACUGGACAGAGGGGUGUGUCGGGGUGUGGGCGAAAGUAUGUGAGUGAAAGUGUAUGUGUGAGUGAGUGUGUGUGUGUGUGUGUGUGUGUGUGUGUGUGUGUGUGUGUGUGUGAAGGAGAUAGGAAGGGAGAAAGAGAGGGAGAGAGACAGAGGCAGAGAGACAGAGGCAGGGAGACAGAGGCAGAGAGACAGAGGCAGCGCGACAGAGGCAGAGGUACCUCUGACUGUGUUAUGGCUUCAGGUUAAUCAAAUCUCCCAGGACCCCAGGCUCUUCUAAGCCUCUGGAUCAGGAGUCUGGUUUUCAGCUAAAUCUGUAGGCUCUUCUGUGGGUGUUAUACACGAGCCCUUAUAUUUUCAAAGCUUCCCCCACUGCCUUUUAAAAGAACAUUUACGAGAUGUCUUUGCUGUGCUAGAGUCCGAGGAUACAAAGAUUAUGAAGGUGUCGGAAUGAAACCGUGUUAAGGGUUGCUCUCUGCUCUCUGGAAAAUCAGGUGUCUUCUGCAGUUGAUCUCAACCUAGAACCCAAGAUCCUGCCUGAAGCUCCCGGAGAGUCUUUGGGAGGGAAGAGGCAUGGCCAGUGACCAAGAGAGUCAGCAGCUAGCCUGAGAGUGGAGUGUGGGUGAUGGAAUGGGGGAAGCUGACUACAUGCCUAGGGAUGACCUGUCCUUCUUGUGGCCCACUCUGUGCCUUCUCUGGGCUUCCUACCUUCUCUACGUCACAGCUUUCCUGUUCUGACUAGAGACAUCCUUGAGCCCUGUGUAAGAAAGGACUGAUUCUCAUAGUGGGACCAUCCUAUCUGGGUUGCUUUAACGCUGGGGACCCCAAGACCUGGAGCCAGAGAAAUAGGAGACGAAUAUGGAGAUGGGCAAAGACCCGGGGAAGACUUCGAAGGGGUAUGGAAUGAGAAUAGGGACAAUCUCCGCUUUAAUCAUGUCAGUUAUUGGGCAGUAACCAUCCAGAUCUGAAUGCAGUUAACUUAGUGCUUUGUUGGAGGCCUUGUAGUGUGACCUACUUCCAUAGGCCAGGGACAUCCGGGUUGAAAUGCUUCUCUGUUGGAACACAGUUCGGUGUCGGCUCACAGGAACUAAGAAGUGUGCGGACCUGUGAGUCAUAGGCAGGUUUUCUUCCAGAAUACUGUGGGAAAAGGAUGGGCAGAUGGCGUCAGAUAAAACCCAGACCCACCCAGACUCUCAGUGAAGCCUGGAAACAAGUAUGUUUAAAAGAGAUGCUUUAAAAAAUCUGAUCUCAGAAGACCGACAGAAAGCCUUUGCUCCUUGGCUUCGGUUUGGGCCUGAAGUCUUGUUCUGCUUUGGGGUAAAUCUCCAGGCUUUUCCAUGCGUGCUGGCUGCGAAUGUUUACAGUUGCAGAGGGUCCCCUCUCACAUGGUAAGGAGCCUUAAGGAAAUGCCUGUGCCGUGCCGGGACUUGAGGACACAGCGAUGACUAAGAUGUGGGUUCACACCUUGAUGAAGGUGCGGGUAGAGAGGUGAGAGCUGUGUCUACAAGCAUUUUAGUGUGGACUUUGUAGACACAGGCAGCUUACGCCUGAAUGGGACCACACGGUCAAGGGCUCAGGGCUCAGGGAUGGGGUCUUCUUAUCGUGCUUGGGGAGGUGCUCUUGAUCUUGAGUUUCCUCACCAAAGCCUGCCAGGGCUAACAAACUUCAUGUUCCUCUGAUUAGACUGCUUAAGACACACUGGCAAAGGAGAUGUGGAUUUCUAAGAACCUUCUACUCACAAGGGUGGGACUUUUUUUAAUCCAUAGUCCUUCCACUUCCUUGGUAAAUAACCCAUCUUCUUAAUGUUUCUACCUUUUGGGAGGAAAUUCUAUCUUCUGGUGUCCCGACUGUAGCUUGUGAGUUACACUCUUGGCUUUGCCUGGAAGGCUGUGUGAUAGAACCGUAAGUUUCUGCUAGAGAAAGAUGAGCCCAGUAAUUAGAAGCCUUUAUCUCAGUGGAAGGGACAGCAAGGGGAAGGCAAGAGGGUUGAAUUCCAUGAUUCCACGUCAUUCGAUGACGUUUAGGAGUGUCCCAUCUUUGUUCUUGAUCUGAUACCUAGGGUGCUGGAUAUCUCUCUUCUGUUUACUUUGGGUCUAACUUUCUUCCUUUUAAACAUGUCUUAAUGUGGAAAUCGAGUUCACUGAUGUAAGCUCCUUUUUUUUUUUUUUUUUUCCGGAGCUGGGGAUCAAACCCAGGGCCUUGCGCCUGCUAGGCAAGCACUCUACCGCUGAGCUAAAUCCCCAACCGCUCCUUUUAUCUCUAUUGGGUUUGUUUGUGUUUUGAGACAUGGUUGGAUGUAACUCAGGCUGGCUUUGAACUUGCUAUGCGGUUGAGGAUAAUGAUAAGCUUCUGAUUCUCCUCCUCCAUGUCCAGAGUGUGGGGAUUACAGGUGUACACCACCAUACCGUCUAUGUUGUGUUAUGGACCAAACCUCGGACUUUGUGCAUGCUGGGAAAACACUCUGCCCAUCGAAUCUAUCCUCAGCCCUGUCUCUAAUAUGUAAGGAAGCAAGCAUCCCUCUACUCCUGCUUUAACUGCUUCCCCCAACUUGUAUUGAUUCGAGCCAGGGUUUCUCUCUGCAGCCCUGGCUGUCCUGGAGUUUGCUACGGAGAUCAGGGUGUCCUUUAACUCCUACAGAUUCCUCUGCCUUGGCCUCCCCAGCCUGGGAUCAAAGUUAUGAGCCUGUGGCUAUAUUCCCCAGUUGCUAAUAGAUUCUGCUUUUAUUUCAUUCCACUCGAAAGACUUUUUUUUUUGUUCCCUUUCAGAUUUAUCUUUGAUUCCAAUUACUUAGAAAUGUUAUCUGUGAUCUGAUGAGUUAGAUAUUCUCCAGGUAUUAUUCUGUUGUUCAUUUCUAGCCCGACUUCCUUGUGAUCAGAAAAUAAAGGACGUAUGACUUGAAUUACUCAGCAUUUUUGAGACUCGUUUUAUGGCUGGGAAGACGGUCUGCUUGAAAACUGUGCUGAUUAUGCUGGUUUGGGGGUCUAGUGUCCUAACUAAUCAUGUUCUUUGCCCUCACCCACCCUCUGCCUGCCUAUUCACCGAGCAACUUAAGAGGAGCAUUUGACAUCUCCAUCUAAACUUGUCAAUUUGUUUAAUUUCCAUUUUGACCAGUUUUGUUUGAUUUUUUUUUUCUUUUCCUGGUGCUAAGAAUAAAAGUCAGAGCCUGGUGCAGUUCUGAAGGAACACCGAACCUCUCGGUCUUACCUCCAGCCCAUGUUUGAUGCACCCUCCCUAGCUUCUACCAUGAGGUGCUAAGAGAUGCUUAACGCUGAUUCGUAGCUACCUGAGGGCGUCAUGCAUUUUACAAUUUUACUUUUGUUUUAACUGUUUUAGGUCAAUGACAAUGCUUUCUGAAUUUAAGUCUCAUUUUUAUCAUUAAUAUAUUGAUACCAAAUUGUAUGUAUGUAUGAAUGCAUGUAUGUAUUACAUAUGAAUGCAUGUAUGUAUGUAUGAAUAUGUGUAUGUAUGAAUGUAUGUAUAUAUGUAUGAAUGUAUGUAUGUAUGUAUCUGUCUGCCUGCCUCUCUCUCUCUCUCUCUCUCUCUCUCUCUCUCUCUCUCUCUCUCUCUUUUUCUGAGACAGGGCCUCAUUGUAGCCCAAGAUAGCCUCAAACCAGUUUUGUAGAACAAUUUAACCUGGAGCUACUGGCCUUCCUGCCUCCAUUUUCAGAAUGUUGGAAUUACAGACAUAUACAACAACACUUGGCUUAUUUUAUUUACUUUAAAGAGACAGAGUCUUGCUGUUACCCAGACUGGCCAUGGACCCCACUCAAAGAAUUCUCUUGCUUCAGCCCCAUGAGUUUGAAGGACUUACAAGACCUAAAGCACAGUGUUCUACCUCAGUCUAUUUUAAGCUGGUUAAGAGUCACUCUGUCCUUUGACUACAUUGAUUAUAGUUAUGAAGUGACUCUUGGUUGGUUUCCUGAGUCACCCUGACUGUACCACAAGUGCCAGCUAUGUGGUCAGACACUGUUCUGCACCUGUCUGUAGGUAAUUUCAGAUGAGCUUUUUGUUUGAAUCAGUGUCCUGACUAAGGCACACUGCUCUCUCUGGUGCUCGUGGCUCUCAUGCAGUCUGUUGAACACAGCUGUGUCUCUGUGAGAAAGAUGAAACCCUUGCUGCCUGAGCGCUUUUGAAGAGGGGGGUGCUUUUGCUUCUUGUUUUGUUUUGGUGUUUUCUUUUCCACCAGCCUUCAGAUUUGAGCUGAUAUUUUGGUUCCUUUCCGAAUCUUGAGCCUUUGGACUGGAAACUUAGCUAUCAACUGUGCUGGAUCUCCAGUUUGCCGUCUAUAGAUCAUGGACCUCCUUAGCCUCCAAGCAUGCAUGAGCUAAUCCCUUGUAGAACAAGAAAAUAUCCUCCACAUAUGUGCAUAUCGCACACACAUGUGUGGAUGUGUAAACACACAUGAACAGAUACAUACACUUGAGGUCCUUUUCCUCUGGAAAAUUAGUUUCACCAAUCUUUUUUUCUUUUUUUUCGAAGCUGAGGACCGAACCCAGGGCCUUGCGCUUGCUAGGCAAGUGCUCUACCACUGAGCUAAAUCCCCAACCCCUAGUUUCACCAAUCUAAACACAUGCUCUAUCUCUAACAUGAUAUUUUUUCUCAUUCCUUUAUUUCCCAUUUGUUUGAAUCUAUAUACUUAAAAGUGUUGUUAUGUGUGUUUUUGUUGUCGUUUGUUCUGUUGUUUGCUUGCUUGCUCUUUGUUUGUUUUGGUUAACGAUAUCUGCCUUUUUCGUCCAAGUGACAUCUUUUACUUUCUAAUUGAGUUGCCCAAACUGUUCACGCUGCUGCGUGUGGUGCUAAGGCACAGUUGUAACCCAUCUGUCUCCUUGUCUGUUUAAGUCUGUCUGUCUCCUGUUUUCCACUUGUUCCUUUCGUUUUCUUCCCUUCUCGGUUUGGAAUUUUGAGGUUGACGCCUUAUCUCAAUGGUGCAGCAUUUACAGAAUAAGCUCAAAUGUAUCCACCAUCAGAUGACGUCACACUAUUUUAUAUAUAGUACAAAGACACCUCCUUGUCUGUCUCUGUGUUAUCUUUGUCACAUUUUAUUUCUAUAUAGGUAACAUCAUAUUCCAUGGCACACCAUUAAUAUCUUAGCCUUAAGUCAUCAAGUGUCUUGGACAAAUAUCUAAAAUGAAAGUAUUAUAUUUACCCACAAAUAUGCCACCUGUGCUGCUCCUCGCUCCUUCAGAGCUGUCUUGGUCUGCAUGUUAUCUUCACUUACUCUCUUGUCCAGGUGUGCUGCGGACGGAUGCUUUCAAUUCUGCAUCUGCAGAAGCUUUGUUCUGAUUUUUUUAAACCUGUAAUUUUGAUAUGCUGUGGAAUUGCAGAACUUAGAGAAUAGAACAGAACUGUCAGCCACAAGCCUGUCACCUGCUUCCUCCCACAGUGGCGUCUCAGUCACAUGAAAGCGAGGAAAUUAACGAGGAUAAUCUCGUUAAUUAAACUACUGACCCUAGCCAUCUCAAACGGCCAUUUGUGUAUUUCUCCUUUAUCUCUGAAAUACAUUCUUCCUGGAUGUUGGAUCCCCGACGGUCAGAAUGUUUUUUUCCUUCUACACUAUUUAAAGUUCCUGCCUUCUGUUUGUGAAACAACAUCGUUCAAGGUUCCAAAUGCUGCUGCUUGAGAAUUCGUUCCUUGUUUGCACUGUAUGUUUUCUGUGGCUUUCAAGGCUGCUCUUUCUAACCAGUUACAAGCAAACUCAGCGUGGCCGGCCUUGCUAUGGUCUUCAUGAUUCCAGGGCUUAGAGGUUUAUAUUUUUCAUCACAUGUUGAAAGAAUUUCAGUCAUUAUUUCAUUUAUUUAUUUAUUUAUUAUUUAUUUAUUUGAUCUCACAUCCCUAUUGAAUUUUUCAGACUCUAGUAGUAGUUACUCGAAGUUUUCACAAGUGUAUGGUACAAUUUCUAUUUUAUUCCUAGUUUACAUGUUUUUUAUUAUUAUUAUAAAUCAUUACAUUUUUGUAAUAUACACUCAAAAGUGCAUGUGUGUCUGUAUCUGUGUAUAUGUGUGUGUAUGUGUCUGUAUCUGUGUAUAUGUGUGUGUCUGUAUCUGUGUAUAUGUGUGUAUCUGUAUCUGUGUACAUGUGUGUGUAUCUGUGCACAUGUGUGUGUGUGUGUGUGUGUGUGUGUGUGUGUGUGUGUGUGUAUUCACACCUGUUUGCCUGCCUACCAUGGUGCUAAUGUGGAGACUUGACAACUUUAAGCAGUCAGGUCUCUCCUUCCAUUAUGUGGAUUCUGGGGAUCCCACUGAUGGCCAGGCUUGGCAGCGGGUGCCUUAACCAUUGAGCUAUCUCACCAACCUUAAGCUGUGUGCUUUAUUUUGGAUGAUUUUAACACUAUGUCUUCAAGUUCAUCAGUAUUUUAAAAUUGUGUUUCUGAUCGUGUAUGUAAGAGAGAAUGCUGUGUGUGCAUGUUCAUAUGUGUGAAUGCAGGCAUGUAAACGAACUCACAAUGGCAUGCAUUUGAAGGUCAAAGGACAGUCUUGGGGACUAGUGUCCCAUCUGCACCCUGCUUGGGGCAGGGUCUCUCUUUUGUUGUCAGUGUUCACUGCUGUGUGUCCCAGGCUAGCCAGCUUGAGAGCUUCCAGGAAUUCUGUCUCUGCAUCCUGUUUUGCCAUAGGCACACAGGUUAUAGCCGUGGGCUUUGGGUCAGGCUUUUCAUGAGGUUUGGGGACUGAGCACAAGUCCUCCUGCUUCUGUCCCAAAUGUUUUGCCCAGUGAGCCAUCUUCCUGGUUCCGAAUCAGCACUGUUAAAAGACAGGCUUCUGAUCUGCCUCUCCUCCACUCUGUUUUUCUUCUCCGAUAUUGUACUUUCAAGCUUAGAAGAUUUUCUCUUCUCUUUCUCUCUCUCUCUCUCUCUCUCUCUCUCUCUCUCUCUCUCUCUCUCUCUCUCCCCCCCCCCCCCCAGCACAGGCUAGCCUCAAACUUCUAAUUCUUACUUAAUCUCUCAAGUGCUAAAGUUAUCGGCAUGAGGCACCGCACCUGCUUUCAACCGCAGAAGCUCAGAUCAGACGCUUUUAAAUACCUUCUGUAUUCCUACUUAACGUGCUCUAUCUCCACGACCUUGUCACGCAUUUAGAAUGUAGGCAUCGCAUUUUUGUAUGCGCUCAUUCUUAAUUCUAUCAUGUGUGUAACUUACAGUUCUGUUUCUAUUAAUUUUUCUCCCCAUGUUAGAUUGUAUUUUAUUAUUUGCAUGUCAGAUUAUCUCAGCCACUUCUCUAUUGCUGUGAAGAGACACCAUGAUCAAGGCAAUUUAUAAAAGGAACCAUUUACUUUGGGGCUUAUGGUUCCAGAGGGAGGUAGAGUUCAUGGCCAUGAUGGCAGGAGGCACAGCAGAAGGCAGACAUACAUCACCCUGGAGCAGUAGCUGAAAGCUUGCAUCCUAUCUGCCACAUUUGAGGCAGAAACAGAGACAGAUAAUUGGGAAUGGCAUGGACCCUUAAAGCCUACUCUCCAGAGACACGUCUCCUCGAAAAAGACCACACCUUCCCCAACAAGGCCAUACUUUUCCCAACAAGACCACAUCUCCUCGUCCUUCCCAAACAGUUCCACCACUGGAGGACCGAACAUUCAAAUAUAAGAACCCGUUGAGGCCGUUCUCUUCCACACUGAGAUAUUCUGACAUACGAAUAAUAAAUACAAUAAAAUAAUGACUCAGACUCCCCAGC